CCUACGGGUGGCAGCAGUGGGGGAUAUUGCACAAUGGGGGAAACCCUGAUGCAGCGACGCCGCGUGAGUGAAGAAGUAUUUCGGUAUGUAAAGCUCUUUCAGCAGGGAAGAUAAAAGACGGUACCUGACUAAGAAGCCCCGGCUAACUACGUGCCAGCAGCCGCGGUAAUAGGUAGGUGCAAGCGUUACUCGGAAUUACUGGGCGUAAAGGGAGCGUAGGCGGGAAAUCAAGUCAGAAGUGAAAUACCAGGGCUCAACCUGGGAACUGCUUUUGAAACUGUAUGGCUGGAGUGCUGGAGAGGUAAGCGGAAUUCCUAGUGUAGCGGUGAAAUGCGUAGAUAUUAGGAGGAACACUAGUGGCGAAGGCGGCUUACUGGACAGUAACUGACGUUGAGGCUCGAAAGCGUGGGGAGCAAACAGGAUUAGAUACCCUUGUAGUC
This 440-nucleotide ribosomal RNA is filed under the name uncultured bacterium. RNAcentral's name for it is "partial 16S ribosomal RNA". It matches the Rfam family "Bacterial small subunit ribosomal RNA", at positions 338 to 795 of the family's 1533-position model. The record is from RNAcentral.